Molecule: long non-coding RNA, 313 nt
Filed under: Nicotiana benthamiana
Lineage: Eukaryota; Viridiplantae; Streptophyta; Magnoliopsida; Solanales; Solanaceae
Description: long non-coding RNA (NBEN_LNC011758)
Source: RNAcentral
AACAACAUCAGAUUUGAAAAGAAAGCAUAUGAGGAGAAUCAGAUUUGCAGAGAAAUUGUUUUACAUAUCCAUAUUCGAGGCAGGAAUUGUAGGAGGAGAAUCAGAUUUGCAGAGAAAUUUUUUUACAUAUUCAUAUUCGAGGCAGGAUUUGUAGUCGAUGGCAAAAUGGCUUGCGGCAAAUUAACAGUUUUCCAUAGAUAUAGUUUGUAAUAGCUAACUACUAUACUUAAUUGUAAUAAGUGAAAGAGUAGUUAGAUACUUAGUAGAGAUGAUUGUGAUGUAAAGGAGUAGCAGCAAGUAAAAGCUGCUACUA